Molecule: ribosomal RNA, 314 nt
Filed under: uncultured bacterium
Lineage: Bacteria
Description: bacterial SSU rRNA
Rfam family: Bacterial small subunit ribosomal RNA
Source: RNAcentral
GACGAACGCUGGCGGCGUGCUUAACACAUGCAAGUCGAACGAUGAAGCUGAAGCUUUUGUUUUGGUGGAUUAGUGGCGAACGGGUGAGUAAUACGUGAGUAACCUGCCCUUGUCUUUGGGAUAAGCCUGGGAAACUGGGUCUAAUACCGGAUAUUCUGCUUCUGCCGCAUGGUGGGGGUUGGAAAGAUUUUUUUUGGAUGGGAGUGGCUCACGGCCUAUCAGCUUGUUGGUGGGGUGAUGGCCUACCAAGGCGUCGACGGGUAGCCGGCCUGAGAGGGUGACCGGCCACAUUGGGACUGAGAUACCGGCCCAGU